UACGUAGGGGGCAAGCGUUGUCCGGAAUUAUUGGGCGUAAAGCGCGCGCAGGCGGUGGAUUAAGUCUGGUGUAUAAGCCCAGGGCUCAACCCUGGGAGGCACCGGAAACUGGUUGACUGGAGUGCAGAAGAGGAGAGUGGAAUUCCACAUGUAGCGGUGAAAUGCGUAGAGAUGUGGAGGAACACCAGUGGCGAAGGCGACUCUCUGGUCUGUAACUGACGCUGAGGCGCGAAAGCGUGGGGAGCAAACAGG
This 252-nucleotide ribosomal RNA is filed under the name uncultured bacterium. RNAcentral's name for it is "partial 16S ribosomal RNA". It matches the Rfam family "Bacterial small subunit ribosomal RNA", at positions 524 to 776 of the family's 1533-position model. The record is from RNAcentral.